This 394-nucleotide unclassified non-coding RNA is filed under the name fungal sp. RNAcentral describes it as "partial internal transcribed spacer region". The stretch from base 1 to 46 matches the Rfam family "Eukaryotic small subunit ribosomal RNA", at positions 1786 to 1831 of the family's 1831-position model. Lineage: Eukaryota; Fungi. The record is from RNAcentral.
AAGUCGUAACAAGGUUUCCGUAGGUGAACCUGCGGAAGGAUCAUUAACACGUGAUUUCUCUCACGUAUUCACCAAGCAACGUAACUCCUUCUGUUGAUGCGGGUCACACAUGGACGAAGUGGUAGCGACGAGAAAUCGUCUUGCCCGUGUGUUAGGUGCCCAGCGCAAGCUGAGGUGUCGCCCAAUGCUUCAGAAGCGUAAUGAUUUCCUGGUCGUCACGCCUGCUCUGCCCUGGUAGUCACAGGAAACGCUUUUUUAUUUUAACCAUUUUUUUUCUUACUAAUUCUUUGUACAGUCUUUUGAAUUCCUGGUGAAUUUCGAUCCGCCGGUUGAGUUUGACUGAUUGUCACUUAUUAAUUCGAAACAACUCUUAGCAACGGAUAUCUUGGUUCUC